ACGGCGAGCAUGAUGAUCGCUAGGUAGCAGCGUCGAUAGCAUGUAUCCUGCUCACUGCACUGCAUGAUCUGACAGCUAGAGUCUGAGAAGUGUAGAUCAGCGUAGGAUACUCGUAACGUCGAGCACCGUGCGAUGCGCUCUGACACUCGUGCUAGUCGAACUGAGAGCAGAGAUAAUCGUGUAUCCGCGUCACGAUUCGAUCGAGCUCGUCUGAGCGUCGCUCGACUACGCGUAAUCGACGCAGAGAGUACGCGCAGAUAUCUCAUGACUGACGACCGCACAGCGUGAUCAUGUGUAUAUGCGAUGCACGCGACGAUCUAGCUGUCAUGACAUAGACAUAUCUACAGAGAUGCAGUAGUGCUGCAGUAUGAGACACAGCUGCUGCAUGCGUCAUCAGCUCGCGUCAUGAGAUGUGUGAUUAGUGCCGCGACGAGCGCACUCGUGUCCGUAGCUACAGCUAAUACUGCUGACACUCAAAGAGACUGCUACUGAUAAAGAGGAAGAAGGUGACGACGACGUCAAGUCAUCAUGGCCCUUACGACCACGGCUACACUCGUGCUACAAUGGCGCGUACAGAGAGCAGCAACCUAGCGAGAAUCAGCGAAUCUCAAGUAGCUCGUCGUAGUCCGGAUAGGAGUCUGCAACUCGGCUCCAUGAAGUCGGAAUCGCUAGUAAUCGCACAUCAGAAUGCUGCGAAGAAUUCGUUCCCGGUCCUUGUACACACCGCUCACUCACUCGAGUAGGAGUGGGUCGCACAAGAAGAUAGAUAGCCUAGCUAUGAGACGCGCGCGUAUACCAGUUG
RNAcentral lists this ribosomal RNA (802 nucleotides) under thermal spring bacterium 16. RNAcentral describes it as "partial 16S ribosomal RNA". The stretch from base 266 to 721 matches the Rfam family "Bacterial small subunit ribosomal RNA", at positions 911 to 1387 of the family's 1533-position model. The record is from RNAcentral.